CGGCAGCACGGACUUCGGUCUGGUGGCGAGUGGCGAACGGGUGAGUAAUGUAUCGGAACGUGCCCAGCUCGUGGGGGAUAACGUAGUGAAAAUUACGCUAAUACCGCAUACGAUCUAUGGAUGAAAGCGGGGGAUCGCAAGACCUCGCGCGAUUGGAGCGGCCGAUAUCAGAUUAGGUAGUUGGUAGGGUAAAGGCCUACCAAGCCAACGAUCUGUAGCUGGUCUGAGAGGACGACCAGCCACACUGGAACUGAGACACGGUCCAGACUCCUACGGGAGGCAGCAGUGGGGAAUUUUGGACAAUGGGCGAAAGCCUGAUCCAGCCAUUCCGCGUGCAGGAUGAAGGCCCUCGGGUUGUAAACUGCUUUUGUACAGAACGAAAAGGUUUCUACUAAUACUAGGAGCUCAUGACGGUACUGUAAGAAUAAGCACCGGCUAACUACGUGCCAGCAGCCGCGGUAAUACGUAGGGUGCGAGCGUUAAUCGGAAUUACUGGGCGUAAAGCGUGCGCAGGCGGUUAUAUAAGUCAGAUGUGAAAUCCCCGGGCUCAACCUGGGAACUGCAUUUGAGACUGUAUAGCUAGAGUACGGCAGAGGGGGAUGGAAUUCCGCGUGUAGCAGUGAAAUGCGUAGAUAUGCGGAGGAACACCGAUGGCGAAGGCAAUCCCCUGGGCCUGUACUGACGCUCAUGCACGAAAGCGUGGGGAGCAAACAGGAUUAGAUACCCUGGUAGUCCACGCCCUAAACGAUGUCAACU
RNAcentral lists this ribosomal RNA (756 nucleotides) under uncultured beta proteobacterium. RNAcentral's name for it is "bacterial SSU rRNA". It matches the Rfam family "Bacterial small subunit ribosomal RNA", at positions 67 to 817 of the family's 1533-position model. The record is from RNAcentral. Lineage: Bacteria; Pseudomonadati; Pseudomonadota; Betaproteobacteria.